This 329-nucleotide unclassified non-coding RNA is filed under the name soil metagenome. Its description in RNAcentral is "partial contains 5.8S ribosomal RNA, internal transcribed spacer 2, and large subunit ribosomal RNA". The stretch from base 1 to 120 matches the Rfam family "5.8S ribosomal RNA", at positions 35 to 154 of the family's 154-position model. The record is from RNAcentral.
GAUGAAGAACGCAGCGAAAUGCGAUAAGUAGUGUGAAUUGCAGAAUUCAGUGAAUCAUCGAAUCUUUGAACGCACAUUGCGCCCCUUGGUAUCCCGAGGGGCAUGCCUGUUCGAGCGUCAUUUCACCACUCAAGCCUGGCUUGGUGUUGGGCGACGUCCCCUUUGGGGACGCGCCUCGAAACGCUCGGCGGCGUGGCACCGGCUUUAAGCGUAGCAGAAUCUUUCGCUUUGGAAGUCGGGGCCCCGUCUGCCGGAAGACCUACUCGCAAGGUUGACCUCGGAUCAGGCAGGGAUACCCGCUGAACUUAAGCAUCUCAAUAAGCGGAGGA